AAUGAACGCUGGCGGCGUGCUUAACACAUGCAAGUCGAGCGCUCACUUCGGUGGGAGCGGCGGACGGGUUAGUAACGCGUGGGAAUAUGCCCUUCUCUACGGAAUAGCCUCUGGAAACGGAGAGUAAUACCGUAUACGCCCUUCGGGGGAAAGAUUUAUCGGAGAAGGAUUAGCCCGCGUUAGAUUAGAUAGUUGGUGGGGUAAUGGCCUACCAAGUCUACGAUCUAUAGCUGGUUUUAGAGGAUGAUCAGCAACACUGGGACUGAGACACGGCCCAGACUCCUACGGGAGGCAGCAGUGGGGAAUCUUGGACAAUGGGCGCAAGCCUGAUCCAGCCAUGCCGCGUGUGUGAUGAAGGCCUUAGGGUCGUAAAGCACUUUCGCCAGGGAUGAUAAUGACAGUACCUGGUAAAGAAAUCCCGGCUAACUCCG
This 431-nucleotide ribosomal RNA is filed under the name uncultured Phaeobacter sp. RNAcentral describes it as "bacterial SSU rRNA". It matches the Rfam family "Bacterial small subunit ribosomal RNA", at positions 29 to 505 of the family's 1533-position model. The record is from RNAcentral. Lineage: Bacteria; Pseudomonadati; Pseudomonadota; Alphaproteobacteria; Rhodobacterales; Roseobacteraceae.